RNAcentral lists this ribosomal RNA (439 nucleotides) under uncultured bacterium. Its description in RNAcentral is "partial 16S ribosomal RNA". It matches the Rfam family "Bacterial small subunit ribosomal RNA", at positions 338 to 795 of the family's 1533-position model. The record is from RNAcentral.
CCUACGGGAGGCAGCAGUAGGGAAUAUUGCUCAAUGGGGGAAACCCUGAAGCAGCAACGCCGCGUGGAGGAUGAAGGUUUUCGGAUUGUAAACUCCUUUUGUUAGAGAAGAUAAUGACGGUAUCUAACGAAUAAGCACCGGCUAACUCCGUGCCAGCAGCCGCGGUAUACGGAGGGUGCAAGCGUUUAGCGGAAGCACUUGGCGUAAAGAACGCGUAGGCGGGAUAGCAAGGCAGAUGUGAAAUCCUAUGGCUUAACCAUAGAACUGCAUUUGAAACUGUUAUUCUAGAGUAUGGGAGAGGUAGGUGGAAUUCUUGGUGUAGGGGUAAAAUCCGUAGAGAUCAAGAGGAAUACUCAUUGCGAAGGCGACCUGCUAGAACAUAACUGACGCUGAUGCGCGAAAGCGUGGGGAGCAAACAGGAUUAGAUACCCCUGUAGUC